This 60-nucleotide ribosomal RNA is filed under the name uncultured bacterium. RNAcentral describes it as "partial 16S ribosomal RNA". The record is from RNAcentral.
UGCCCUUGACAUCCUCGGAAUCUUACAGAGAUGUGAGAGUGCCUUCGGGAACCGAGUGAC